GAUUAUGUAUAUGACACUACCAUUUACUGGAACACAUGCUUUGAAAAUCAAGAAAAAUAUAAAGAACUUCCUUUGUAAUAUUUACCUACAAGUUGAACUACGUGUGGUACUUAAACCAGUAUACAGAAUAAGGAACUAUUUUGUAUUCAAAGACAGAGGGGACCGAUCAUAUCUAAUCUACAGAUAUCAGUGCUCUGUUUGUAAUGGUGUGUGUGUAGGGUCGACUGUGAGGAGGCUUAGUGAUUGAGUUAAAGAAUAUAGUAUGCCAAGGUAUGAAAAAUUGUCAAAUAUUUUCCAACAUGAAGAAUGCGUGAAUGCAAGUGUUAAAUUUAACAAUGCCAAAUUAUUGGAAAGGCUGAAAAUGAGCGAUGGCUACGGUUAAAAGAAACAUUAGCCAUAAAGAACUUAGCACCUGAACUGAACAGGAAAUCCAGCACAGGAUUGGUCAAAUCUACCAAACCUCUACAGAGAUUCAUUAGUCAAAAGCAUUGUGUAAGAAGACCAUGAAACGUUUCUUCACAAAGAAGAAGGAAAGUGGUGCUGAAGGACGGAAGAGACGAAAGUUGGAGGCAGAGAAAGCCAAAAAGUCGAGCAAGUUGUUCAUGCCCUUCUUUGAAAAGCCCGGUACAAGUAGUUCUACACGUUCCAUGGAGUCGCCUGCACCAGCUACAAGUUCGUUAGAAUCCGAAGGUGGAUCAAGUACAAAUGCGUCACAAGCGAGGAGAAAGUCAAGUCAUAUAAAUCCGAAUAUAACGAGAUUAAGAAUGAGGCUGCCAGAGAGAACAUGGACAUGACAGGAGGGGAAGAAAAUGGUGGUGGUGAUGUUGAAUUUAUUGACGAAAUUGAACCUGACAACACUGAACCUAGUGUAACAGGUUAGCGCUCAGAUGACAUUUUAAAGAAACAGUCUGGGAAUGACUUCUAUGAAUAGAUGAAACUAGGAUGGCUAGAAAGAAGCUUUCUCUUCCCUCUUCCCACAGCCAUUUCACAAUUGUGACCUCCCCCUUCCAACUAAUACUAUGGCACCUGUAGGUUUUAUAUAUUCUAUAUAGGAAGGUUACAGACGAAGUUUACAACAAACUUCUCUGACUCUUCGGAAGAUAAGUCUGGACUGUAAGUAUAUAUAUUUCUCUUAUUUAUUCAGUUUGAAGUUUCAGCUGUUUACUUGUUAUUUGAAUGAUUUUUAGUUUCUAUGGAUAGUAACUAAUAUAAAUGUGCUAUUCUUUUCUGUAGAGAAGCUACAUUGAUCUAAAAGCAUGAAAAUAAGUGUUUUAUUCCUCACCUUAUUUCUGGUUAUUCUGGCCAGUUACAAUGAACUUUACAAAUCUUACAGGCUGAACUACCUCGAACACUUUAACAUUAUCUCUACCUUAUCAUUAUGGUCUUUAAUGACCACAUGGUGGGAUUAUAAUAUUUGAUGGUAAAGUUGCUGUUUCUGCAUAACAUAAAAAUGUUUCAUUUUUUAUCAAUUAUACCAUAUUCUACUGUUGUUGAAUCCAUUCUUUAGUUUGAUAUUUUUCUUUCUUCCCACUAUGUAAAAUCUGAGCCAGCUGAAAAUGGCUUGACUAGACUAGAGUUGAGUUAGUGUUUCAUAAACAUUACAUGUUUUUUAACCUAUAGCCACAGCUGUAAAUAUAGCAUGAGUUCCUCAUGGUGUUUGAAAGAGAACUGAUACUUGCAAGUGUGUGUUUCUCAUGGUGUUUGAUGAAAGAGAACUGAUACUGAUGCUUGCAAGCGUGAGUUCCUCGUGGUGUUUGAUGAAAGAGAACUGAUACUGAUGCUUACAAGCGUGAGUUCCUUACAGUGUUUGAAAGAAAACUGAUACUUGCAAAUGUGAGUUUCUCAUGGUGUUUGAUGAAGAACUGGUACUAAUGCUUGGAGACAGAAGAGCUUAUCGAAAAUGCACAAAAGAUUAAAUACAUGUAUUUCAGUGUCAUUCUUAUUGAUUAUACAUUAGUAAGUAUCUCACAAACAUUUCCAAUAAUGUUGAACAGUAAAAUUGUUUUUUAACUUGCA
Molecule: long non-coding RNA, 2016 nt
Organism: Limulus polyphemus (Atlantic horseshoe crab)
Lineage: Eukaryota; Metazoa; Arthropoda; Merostomata; Xiphosura; Limulidae
Exons: 4
Source: RefSeq, a predicted model, not a curated record